RNAcentral lists this ribosomal RNA (253 nucleotides) under uncultured bacterium. RNAcentral describes it as "partial 16S ribosomal RNA". It matches the Rfam family "Bacterial small subunit ribosomal RNA", at positions 524 to 776 of the family's 1533-position model. The record is from RNAcentral.
UACGGAGGGUGCAAGCGUUAUCCGGAUUUAUUGGGUUUAAAGGGUGCGUAGGCGGCUAUUUAAGUCAGUGGUGAAAUCCUGCAGCUCAACUGUAGAACAGCCAUUGAAACUGAAUAGCUUGAGUAAUCUUGAGGUAGGCGGAAUGUGUAGUGUAGCGGUGAAAUGCUUAGAGAUUACAUGGAAUACCAAUUGCGAAGGCAGGUUACUACUAAUGGAUUGACGCUGAUGGACGAAAGCGUGGGUAGCGAACAGG